UACGUAGGGUGCAAGCGUUGUCCGGAAUUAUUGGGCGUAAAGAGCUCGUAGGCGGUCUGUCGCGUCUGCUGUGAAAACUCAGGGCUUAACCCUGAGCUUGCAGUGGGUACGGGCAGGCUAGAGUUCGGUAGGGGAGACUGGAAUUCCUGGUGUAGCGGUGAAAUGCGCAGAUAUCAGGAGGAACACCGAUGGCGAAGGCAGGUCUCUGGGCCGAUACUGACGCUGAGGAGCGAAAGCGUGGGGAGCGAACAGG
RNAcentral lists this ribosomal RNA (253 nucleotides) under uncultured bacterium. RNAcentral's name for it is "partial 16S ribosomal RNA". It matches the Rfam family "Bacterial small subunit ribosomal RNA", at positions 524 to 776 of the family's 1533-position model. The record is from RNAcentral.